Molecule: non-coding RNA, 30 nt
Filed under: Macaca fascicularis (crab-eating macaque)
Lineage: Eukaryota; Metazoa; Chordata; Mammalia; Primates; Cercopithecidae
Also listed under: 1 other name
Source: RNAcentral
UAUCCUCAGAUUGGUGCAGCUUUUUCAGUU